UUAGCUUAUAUUAUGAAUAAUCUUUCGUACUAUAUUUAUGGAAUCCACUAGAAUGCAUGUAAUUAAUGAAUGCAGUUGGCGUUCACAAUAACUCUCUUCGUCACAAACAUUCCCAUCACAAACCCAACCCCACCGUUAUCUCUUCCUCUUCAUCUACUCCGAUAACAACAAAUUUCUAAGGGUGAGCGAUGUGAGAUAUUGCCAUGGAAUUAUCUAAGGGAAAAAAAGAAAUGAAGUGAAGAGAAAUAACUACCAGAACCGGCGUUGCCAGCCAUAACAGCCUGCAUGUACUUCUCCGGCAACUCACCGGCGGAGCCAAUCACUCCACCCUGCACCACCGCAUCCGCCGCCCCGCAUAGAAUCACCGAUCCGACGGUCACAUAAAACCCUUUGUAUAAUCCAACCCUACCUUGAAUGUAAACCACAUCCAUAACAGGGACCAAAAGCAGAGUCACCACAAAAAGGCUCAAACCCAAGUUGAUUCUGAAGCUUGAGUUUGAGUUUGAGUUUUGGGUAUAAAAGACGAUGAAGAUGAGGCAAAUGAAGGAAACCCCCAUGUAAACAAUGGCGAAGAUUCGAUCGAUGUUUGUUUCUGGGUAGAGAUAGGAGAAGUAAUCGAUUGCUGUGACGAACGCGUUCCAUGGAAGGAGAGGAAGAGCGGAUGGAAAUGGGGUUUUGGUGAAAUGGCCAGAAAGAGGAGAUCAAGGUUUGUCCACCAUUAAGAUUGAGGUAGACAAGUGCAUUUCAAAGGUGGUGGUUGAAGCGAGUGAUGAACACUCGGACAAUGGCCACAAGUAACGGAGAAAGGAAGGGAGGAAGGUAGCUUGCAUGGGGGAGAAACGAGUGCAAGGAAGGGAGUUAACAGAGAAAGUAACGAUCGCGAUCUAGGUCAUAUGUAUAUAUAAAAAACUCUAUUGUAGAGGGAUGCUACUUGCCUUCUUACGAUAUACUCCCAAUUAAUUAUUUCAACAAGCAAAAGCUUGUAUUAUAUAUCGAAUAGUCAAAGGUAGGAGAGAGGCAUUUCAAACGAGCUUUAAUUUGAGAAGUCAAGAACGGAUGUAUUUUAUUUAUUUCUGAAAACAGGACUCUCAUCAUAUUUAUUGGUGACAAUGUGAACAACAAAAA
Cucumis sativus (cucumber) is the source of this 1125-nucleotide long non-coding RNA. RefSeq lists it as uncharacterized. The record is from RefSeq and is a predicted model, not a curated record. The transcript has 2 exons. NCBI's taxonomy places the organism in Eukaryota, Viridiplantae, Streptophyta, Magnoliopsida, Cucurbitales, Cucurbitaceae.